Molecule: ribosomal RNA, 253 nt
Filed under: uncultured bacterium
Lineage: Bacteria
Description: partial 16S ribosomal RNA
Rfam family: Bacterial small subunit ribosomal RNA
Source: RNAcentral
UACAGAGGUCUCAAGCGUUGUUCGGAUUCAUUGGGCGUAAAGGGUGCGUAGGUGGCGUGCUAAGUCAGGUGUGAAAUUUCGGAGCUUAACUCCGAAACUGCAUUUGAUACUGGCGUGCUUGAGGACUGGAGAGGAGACUGGAAUUCAUGGUGUAGCAGUGAAAUGCGUAGAGAUCAUGAGGAAGACCAGUGGCGAAGGCGGGUCUCUGGACAGUUCCUGACACUGAGGCACGAAGGCCAGGGGAGCAAACGGG